RNAcentral lists this ribosomal RNA (585 nucleotides) under uncultured bacterium. Its description in RNAcentral is "partial 16S ribosomal RNA". It matches the Rfam family "Bacterial small subunit ribosomal RNA", at positions 355 to 1375 of the family's 1533-position model. The record is from RNAcentral.
UGGGGAAUUUUGGACAAUGGGCGAAAGCCUGAUCCAGCAAUGCCGCGUGUGUGAAGAAGGCCUUCGGGUUGUAAAGCACUUUUGUCCGGAAAGAAAUCCUUGGCUCUAAUACAGUCGGGGGAUGACGGUACCGGAAGAAUAAGCACCGGCUAACUACGUGCCAGCAGCCGCGGUAAUACGUAGGGUGCAAGCGUUAAUCGGAAUUACUGGGCGUAAAGCGUGCGCAGGCGGUUUGCUAAGACCGAUGUGAAAUCCCCGGGCUCAACCUGGGAACUGCAUUGGUGACUGGCAGGCUAGAGUAUGGCAGAGGGGGGUAGAAUUUCACGUGUAGCAGUGAAAUGCGUAGAGAUGUGGAGGAAUACCGAUGGCGAAGGCAGCCCCCUGGGCCAAUACUGACGCUCAUGCACGAAAGCGUGGGGAGCAAACAGGAUUAGAUACCCUGGUAGUCCACGCCCUAAACGAUGUCAACUAGUUGUUGGGGAUUCAUUUCCUUAGUAACGUAGCUAACGCGUGAAGUUGACCGCCUGGGGAGUACGGUCGCAAGAUUAAAACUCAAAGGAAUUGACGGGGUCAUAGCUGUUUCCU